This 567-nucleotide ribosomal RNA is filed under the name Peptostreptococcus stomatis. RNAcentral describes it as "bacterial SSU rRNA". It matches the Rfam family "Bacterial small subunit ribosomal RNA", at positions 379 to 968 of the family's 1533-position model. Lineage: Bacteria; Bacillati; Bacillota; Clostridia; Peptostreptococcales; Peptostreptococcaceae. The record is from RNAcentral.
AAGCCUGAUGCAGCAACGCCGCGUGAACGAUGAAGGUCUUCGGAUCGUAAAGUUCUGUUGCAGGGGAAGAUAAUGACGGUACCCUGUGAGAAGCCCCGGCUAACUACGUGCCAGCAGCCGCGGUAAUACGUAGGGGGCUAGCGUUAUCCGGAUUUACUGGGCGUAAAGGGUGCGUAGGUGGUCCUUCAAGUCGGUGGUUAAAGGCUACGGCUCAACCGUAGUAAGCCGCCGAAACUGGAGGACUUGAGUGCAGGAGAGGAAAGUGGAAUUCCCAGUGUAGCGGUGAAAUGCGUAGAUAUUGGGAGGAACACCAGUAGCGAAGGCGGCUUUCUGGACUGCAACUGACACUGAGGCACGAAGGCGUGGGUAGCAAACAGGAUUAGAUACCCUGGUAGUCCACGCUGUAAACGAUGAGUACUAGGUGUCGGGGGUUACCCCCCUCGGUGCCGCAACUAACGCAUUAAGUACUCCGCCUGGGGAGUACGCACGCAAGUGUGAAACUCAAAGAAUUGACGGGGACCCGCACAAGUAGCGGAGCAUGUGAUUGAAUUCGAACAACGCGAGAAC